UUCCGGGCUCCGUGCAAUAGGCGGUCGCGAACCCCGCCAGGUCCGGAAGGAAGCAACGGUAGUGAUUUACCCUGUGUGCCGCGGAUCACCCGGGGCUU
This 98-nucleotide signal recognition particle RNA is filed under the name Acidobacteriota bacterium. Its description in RNAcentral is "signal recognition particle sRNA small type". It matches the Rfam family "Bacterial small signal recognition particle RNA". Rfam says of the family: The signal recognition particle (SRP) is a universally conserved ribonucleoprotein involved in the co-translational targeting of proteins to membranes. Archaeal SRP consists of a 7S RNA and homologues of the eukaryotic SRP19 and SRP54 proteins. The record is from RNAcentral. Lineage: Bacteria; Pseudomonadati; Acidobacteriota.